UGGGGAAUAUUGGGCAAUGGGCGAAAGCCUGACCCAGCAACGCCGCGUGAAGGAUGAAGUAUUUCGGUAUGUAAACUUCGAAAGAAUAGGAAGAAUAAAUGACGGUACUAUUUAUAAGGUCCGGCUAACUACGUGCCAGCAGCCGCGGUAAUACGUAGGGACCAAGCGUUGUUCGGAUUUACUGGGCGUAAAGGGCGCGUAGGCGGCAAUUCAAGUCAUCUGUGAAAUCUCCGGGCUUAACUCGGAACGGUCAGAUGAUACUGCUUUGCUAGAGUGCAGAAGGGGCAAUCGGAAUUCUUGGUGUAGCGGUGAAAUGCGUAGAUAUCAAGAGGAACACCUGUGGCGAAGGCGGCCACCUGGUUGGAUACUGACGCUGAGACGCGAAAGCGUGGGGAGCAAACAGGAUUAGAUACCCCAGUAGUCCCUGAGCGGGCUGGCAAGGCGCAU
RNAcentral lists this ribosomal RNA (447 nucleotides) under uncultured bacterium. RNAcentral describes it as "bacterial SSU rRNA". It matches the Rfam family "Bacterial small subunit ribosomal RNA", at positions 355 to 825 of the family's 1533-position model. The record is from RNAcentral.